This 253-nucleotide ribosomal RNA is filed under the name uncultured bacterium. Its description in RNAcentral is "partial 16S ribosomal RNA". It matches the Rfam family "Bacterial small subunit ribosomal RNA", at positions 524 to 776 of the family's 1533-position model. The record is from RNAcentral.
GACGUAGGGGGCCAGCGUUGCUCGGAAUUACUGGGCGUAAAGGGUUCGUAGGCGGUGUGGCAAGUCGGUAGUGAAAUCUCCAGGCUUAACUUGGAGGCUGCUGCCGAAACUGCCGUGCUAGAGUACGGGAGAGGCGAGUGGAAUUACAGGUGUAGCGGUGAAAUGCGUAGAUAUCUGUAGGAACACCCGUGGCGAAGGCGGCUCGCUGGAGCGUUACUGACGCUGAGGAACGAAAGCUAGGGGAGCAAACAGG